UGAGGAAUAUUGGUCAAUGGACGGAAGUCUGAACCAGCCAAGUAGCGUGCAGGAUGACGGCCCUAUGGGUUGUAAACUGCUUUUGUAUGGGGAUAAAGUUAGGGACGUGUCCCUAUUUGCAGGUACCAUACGAAUAAGGACCGGCUAAUUCCGUGCCAGCAGCCGCGGUAAUACGGAAGGUCCAGGCGUUAUCCGGAUUUAUUGGGUUUAAAGGGAGCGUAGGCUGGAGAUUAAGUGUGUUGUGAAAUGUAGACGCUCAACGUCUGAAUUGCAGCGCAUACUGGUUUCCUUGAGUACGCACAACGUAGGCGGAAUUCGUCGUGUAGCGGUGAAAUGCUUAGAUAUGACGAAGAACUCCGAUUGCGAAGGCAGCUGACGGGAGCGCAACUGACGCUUAAGCUCGAAGGUGCGGGUAUCAAACAGGAUUAGAUACCCUGGUAGUCCGCACAGUAAACGAUGGAUGCCCGCUGUUGGUACCUGGUAUCAGCGGCUAAGCGAAAGCAUUAAGCAUCCCACCUGGGGAGUACGCCGGCAACGGUG
Molecule: ribosomal RNA, 540 nt
Filed under: uncultured bacterium
Lineage: Bacteria
Description: bacterial SSU rRNA
Rfam family: Bacterial small subunit ribosomal RNA
Source: RNAcentral